UUAAGCGACUAAGCGUACACGGUGGAUGCCCUGGCAGUCAGAGGCGAUGAAGGACGUGCUAAUCUGCGAAAAGCGCCGGCGAGGUGAUAUGAACCUUUGACCCGGCGAUGUCCGAAUGGGGAAACCCAGUGCAAUCCGUUGCACUAUCGUUAACUGAAUACAUAGGUUAACGAGGCGAACCGGGGGAACUGAAACAUCUAAGUACCCCGAGGAAAAGAAAUCAACCGAGAUUCCCCCAGUAGCGGCGAGCGAACGGGGAGCAGCCCGGAGUCUGAAUCAGCUUGUGUGUUAGUGGAACGGUCUGGAAAGUCCGACGGUACAGGGUGAUAGUCCCGUACACGAAAGCACACAUGCUGUGAACUCGAAGAGUAGGGCGGGACACGUGGUAUCCUGUCUGAAUAUGGGGGGACCAUCCUCCAAGGCUAAAUACUCCUGACUGACCGAUAGUGAACCAGUACCGUGAGGGAAAGGCGAAAAGAACCCCGGCGAGGGGAGUGAAAAAGAACCUGAAACCGUGUACGUACAAGCAGUGGGAGCCUCUUUAUGGGGUGACUGCGUACCUUUUGUAUAAUGGGUCAGCGACUUAUAUUCUGUAGCAAGGUUAACCGUAUAGGGGAGCCGAAGGGAAACCGAGUCUUAACUGGGCGUUAAGUUGCAGGGUAUAGACCCGAAACCCGGUGAUCAGCCAUGGGCAGGUUGAAGGUUGGGUAACACUAACUGGAGGACCGAACCGACUAAUGUUGAAAAAUUAGCGGAUGACCUGUGGCUGGGGUGAAAGGCCAAUCAAACCGGGAGAUAGCUGGUUCUCCCCGAAAGCUAUUUAGGUAGCGCCUCGUGAACUCAUCUUCGGGGGUAGAGCACUGUUUCGGCUAGGGGGCCAUCCCGGCUUACCAACCCGAUGCAAACUACGAAUACCGAAGAAUGUUAUCACGGGAGACACACGGCGGGUGCUAACGUCCGUCGUGAAGAGGGAAACAACCCAGACCGCCAGCUAAGGUCCCAAAGUCAUGGUUAAGUGGGAAACGAUGUGGGAAGGCACAGACAGCCAGGAUGUUGGCUUAGAAGCAGCCAUCAUUUAAAGAAAGCGUAAUAGCUCACUGGUCGAGUCGGCCUGCGCGGAAGAUGUAACGGGGCUAAACCAUGCACCGAAGCUGCGGCAGCGACGCUUAUGCGUUGUUGGGUAGGGGAGCGUUCUGUAAGCCGUUGAAGGUGUCCUGUGAGGGGUGCUGGAGGUAUCAGAAGUGCGAAUGCUGACAUAAGUAACGAUAAAGCGGGUGAAAAGCCCGCUCGCCGGAAGACCAAGGGUUCCUGUCCAACGUUAAUCGGGGCAGGGUGAGUCGACCCCUAAGGCGAGGCCGAAAGGCGUAGUCGAUGGGAAACAGGUUAAUAUUCCUGUACUUGGUGUUACUGCGAAGGGGACGGAGAAGGCUAUGUCAGCCGGGCGACGGUUGUCCCGGUUUAAGCAUGUAGGCGGAGGUUCGAAAUCCGGUACCUUAUUAACGCUGAGGUGUGAUGACGAGGCACUACGGUGCUGAAGUGAUAAAUGCCCUGCUUCCAGGAAAAGCCUCUAAGCAUCAGGUAACACGAAAUCGUACCCCAAACCGACACAGGUGGUCAGGUAGAGAAUACCAAGGCGCUUGAGAGAACUCGGGUGAAGGAACUAGGCAAAAUGGUGCCGUAACUUCGGGAGAAGGCACGCUGAUGUGUAGGUGAAGUCCUGCGGACGGAGCUGAAAUCAGUCGAAGAUACCAGCUGGCUGCAACUGUUUAUUAAAAACACAGCACUGUGCAAACACGAAAGUGGACGUAUACGGUGUGACGCCUGCCCGGUGCCGGAAGGUUAAUUGAUGGGGUUAGCGGCAACGCGAAGCUCUUGAUCGAAGCCCCGGUAAACGGCGGCCGUAACUAUAACGGUCCUAAGGUAGCGAAAUUCCUUGUCGGGUAAGUUCCGACCUGCACGAAUGGCGUAAUGAUGGCGGCUGUCUCCACGAGACUCAGUGAAAUUGAACUCGCUGUGAAGAUGCAGUGUACCCGCGGCAAGACGGAAAGACCCCGUGAACCUUUACUAUAGCUUGACACUGAACACUGGUCCUUGAUGUGUAGGAUAGGUGGGAGGCUUUGAAGCGUGGACGCCAGUCUGCGUGGAGCCAACCUUGAAAUACCACCCUUUAAUGGCUGGUGUUCUAACGUAGACCCGUAAUCCGGGUUGCGGACAGUGUCUGGUGGGUAGUUUGACUGGGGCGGUCUCCUCCCAAAGAGUAACGGAGGAGCACGAAGGUUGGCUAAUCCUGGUCGGACAUCAGGAGGUUAGUGCAAUGGCAUAAGCCAGCUUGACUGCGAGCGUGACGGCGCGAGCAGGUGCGAAAGCAGGUCAUAGUGAUCCGGUGGUUCUGAAUGGAAGGGCCAUCGCUCAACGGAUAAAAGGUACUCCGGGGAUAACAGGCUGAUACCGCCCAAGAGUUCAUAUCGACGGCGGUGUUUGGCACCUCGAUGUCGGCUCAUCACAUCCUGGGGCUGAAGUAGGUCCCAAGGGUAUGGCUGUUCGCCAUUUAAAGUGGUACGCGAGCUGGGUUUAGAACGUCGUGAGACAGUUCGGUCCCUAUCUGCCGUGGGCGCUGGAGAAUUGAGGGGGGCUGCUCCUAGUACGAGAGGACCGGAGUGGACGCAUCACUGGUGUUCGGGUUGUCAUGCCAAUGGCACUGCCCGGUAGCUAAAUGCGGAAGAGAUAAGUGCUGAAAGCAUCUAAGCACGAAACUUGCCCCGAGAUGAGUUCUCCCUGAGACCUUGAGUCUCCUGAAGGAACGUUGAAGACGACGACGUUGAUAGGUCGGGUGUGUAAGCGCAGCGAUGCGUUGAGCUAACCGAUACUAAUGAACCGUGAGGCUUAACCU
RNAcentral lists this ribosomal RNA (2890 nucleotides) under Enterobacter cloacae. RNAcentral describes it as "23S ribosomal RNA". It matches the Rfam family "Bacterial large subunit ribosomal RNA". Lineage: Bacteria; Pseudomonadati; Pseudomonadota; Gammaproteobacteria; Enterobacterales; Enterobacteriaceae. The record is from RNAcentral.